RNAcentral lists this non-coding RNA (28 nucleotides) under Mus musculus (house mouse). RNAcentral also lists the same sequence under 1 other name. The record is from RNAcentral. Lineage: Eukaryota; Metazoa; Chordata; Mammalia; Rodentia; Muridae.
UGCUCACUUCGGUUUACGGAAUAUCGCU